GCUAGCUCCCACAUCGGGCGAUGAAGCAGCUCUCUUCCAGUACACAUAGUCCGCCAUGGCAGCACCUGUUGUCCCUUCGGGGACAUCCGAUAAAAUUGGAACGAUACAGAGAAGAUUAGCAUGGCCCCUGCGCAAGGAUGACACGCACAAAUCGAGAAAUGGUCCAAAUUUUUUUCUCCCCAAAAAGCUCUGCAAUGGAUCCUUUGUUUUCUUGCGAAAAUUUUUGUAUUAUUGAAGCUAAGGAUCUGCCAUUUUUUGUUUUCCUGCAACAGCAUCCCCUUCUCAACUGACUGAGAUUUGUGAAGAUCUUCUGGUUGAACUCAACCACUCAAGGUGUUAUGAUUUAAUGGAUCAGUAUUGUGAACAGAUCUCAAGCAAUCUUCCAAUCAUGAGUAAACACUAAACAGAGGCAAUGACCUGAGGAUUGCAAGGAAGCCGUGUCGACUUUGAUGUUUGCAGCAGCCAGCAAGAUUUGGCAACGUGCCAGAAUUGCGCUAUCUGUCAACCAUAUUUGCUGAGAGAUAUGGCAAUGCCCUCGAUUGUUUCGUUAACAAAGAGUUUGUUGAAAAGCUCAAGUCUGGGAGACCAUCCAAAGAUAAGAAGCUUCAGUUGAUGCAAGAUAUAGCAAGUUGUAUAAACCACCUGCAAUUAAGCAAGUAAGCUUUUUGACAAGUUUCAUGUCAAUUUUAUUGUCAUUUUUCUCCCCAAAUUGGGUGAUUUGCAGGACUCGUUCAUGAAUGGCAAUGAUCAAGCAUACAAGUUAGAUGAAAAAGCUGAGAAGAAAGGAGAGUCAGACAAAAGAGAGAAUCAUCAUCUUUCCAAUAGAAAUCCUGAAAAAGAAUCUUUAUGCUAACAGGUGGGCGACUUUGUUUGCUGACCAGUUUAGCAAACAAAAAGCUAAGAUUAGAAAAUCCUUUAGCUAUUUCCUUAACAUCAUUUAGUAAAAGAUCAAAAUAGGUGGAAAAGGAUUGAUACUUAAUAUUGUUAGUGAUCUUCAUGCAAUCUGUUUGAAUCUGAAUACCAUCCAGAUUAAUCUCCUUCAGCCAUUUGAGAGCCUCCUUGAUGCUCAGGACCUCUGCUUUGUCUGGUUUGAGGAUACCAGAUCUGGGAAUCUCCUUUGCAGCAAUGAAGGAACCAUUUUCUGCUAUUCGAUAAGGAAAUUAGUAGCACCAUUAACAGUGACUUCUGGUGGGAUGAUCACCUGAUUCCAGACCUUCUCGUUCCUCCAAGUUGAAUAGCUCAUUGUCCUCCAAGUUGUUGAAGUUGAAUUCCAGCCAGCCCAAGAAACUAGGUUAAGUUGCCAAGAUAGUUCCAACAGCUUCUAGCAAAAUGACAUGAGACAAAUAAAUGCUCUGCAGAUUCCCCUUCCAUGUUGCAUAGCUGACAAAGCAAAGUAAAUAGAGAAUCCAGUGUAGAGUCCUCCCACCCCAGAUUGUCAUGUGUAAACAGGUCUCUCACUUUCAUGUCAUUGUUUGCAUCUGUCACAGCAGGUUGAAUAGAAGGGAAAAGGUUGUUAGGUAACCAUGGGUCUCUCCAAACAUUUAUACUACUCCCAUCACCCACCCUCCAUCUAUAGUUGCUUCUAACAACAUUUUAAGCUUCCAUAAUGCUAUGCCAAAUAAAGGAUGGG
Ipomoea nil (Japanese morning glory) is the source of this 1630-nucleotide long non-coding RNA. RefSeq lists it as uncharacterized. NCBI's taxonomy places the organism in Eukaryota, Viridiplantae, Streptophyta, Magnoliopsida, Solanales, Convolvulaceae. The record is from RefSeq and is a predicted model, not a curated record. The transcript has 5 exons.